Molecule: transfer RNA, 17 nt
Filed under: Medicago ruthenica
Lineage: Eukaryota; Viridiplantae; Streptophyta; Magnoliopsida; Fabales; Fabaceae
Description: partial tRNA-His
Source: RNAcentral
GGGCUGAUUUAGCCAAG